AGUGAACGCUGGCGGCGUGCCUAAUACAUGCAAGUCGAACGCGAAAGUCCUUCGGGAUGAGUAAAGUGGCGCACGGGUGAGUAAUGCAUGAGAACAUGCCCUUAGAUGGGGAAUAACGUUUGGAAACGAACGCUAAUACCGCAUAACCUCGAGAGAGUAAAGGUGGCGCCGCAAGGGCUACCGUCUAAGGAUUGGCUCAUGUCCCAUUAGCUAGUUGGCGGGGUAAUGGCCCACCAAGGCAACGAUGGGUAUGUGGUCUGAGAGGAUGAUCACACACACUGGAACUGAGACACGGUCCAGACUCCUACGGGAGGCAGCAGUAGGGAAUAUUGCACAAUGGGGGAAACCCUGAUGCAGCAACGCCGCGUGAGUGAAGAAGGCCCUUGGGUCGUAAAGCUCUUUAGCGAGGGAAGAGGGUAGAUACGGUGAAUAAUCGUGUUUGCUGACGGUACCUCGAGAAUAAGCACCGGCUAAUUUCGUGCCAGCAGCAGCCGCGG
Molecule: ribosomal RNA, 497 nt
Filed under: uncultured bacterium
Lineage: Bacteria
Description: partial 16S ribosomal RNA
Rfam family: Bacterial small subunit ribosomal RNA
Source: RNAcentral